Molecule: long non-coding RNA, 1014 nt
Organism: Heterocephalus glaber (naked mole-rat)
Lineage: Eukaryota; Metazoa; Chordata; Mammalia; Rodentia; Bathyergidae
Source: RefSeq, a predicted model, not a curated record
UCAUAACUGAACAGGCUAUUGGGAGGUGGGGCUCAGUAGGAGGAAGUUGGUCACUGAGAUGUGACUUUGGGAUUAUAUCUGGUCCCUGGCCCCUUCCUCUCUGGCUCAGUUUCACCCACCAUGAGUUGAGCUACUUUACUUCAUCACCCUUCUGCAGUGUCUCUGCUUGGAGCCAGCCAACCAUGGACCAAUCCUCAGAAACUGUUUGUGACUGAGUCCUUGAUCGCCACCUGGUGGCUACAUGCUGCAGCCAUUCCCUUUCUAGCAGGGAAACCACACUGGUGAAUUACUUUUUCUCCGGAUACAAACAGGAAAAAACAAAGGCACCAACCGAUGAAACAAAAACCAGAAUCAAGUGACUGUCCUGUAGCCCCGUAAGUGAAGAUACCAAGAACUGCUGUGGAUGCCUUGGCUCUGCGCCUGAGCUCAGCAGAAGAAUUGGUGGAGAGGACUUCCCUUAUUCUGUCCUGAAGCAUCUCCAGGCUUCCGCGGAGUCCCAGGCAGCCACACUCCUUCCAGGACCAAGGAACCCCUUCGUAUGCAAAUACAGCUCCAGGGUGAUGCUUCCAGAAGCAAAGCUCUGCUGUGGGAGGGCUGUUUUCUUCAUCCACUCUAAUCUCUGGGUCCACAUUAUUCCAGGUCCACAGAAGGACCACUGCUGGUUCCUCAGGCCCCGGCUGUCUCUCUAUGAGCUGAAUGGCUGCGGAAGGGAGGAAGCAACUUUCCUUCCCUAGCAGGUCAAAGUAGCUCCAGCAGCAAGUGUGUGCUUGUGUGUGGUUCUCCAUCCUGCACAACGCAAAUCCUCUAUUGUGUUGUGAGACAUCAUGCUGUCUGCUCGGAGCCUGUGCUUUCCCCUCCAUGAGGGUAAGGACAGACCACUUAUGCGGGGAGCAAUGAAACCCAUCCCAACCCCAUUCGCACAUUCUUUUCUUCCCUCGCUCCUGCCUUCUCAGCUCUUGGUAAAGUCAACUCUGUCUCAAAACAAUCACCAGAAAGCAAAUAAAGCACCAAGAU